Eptesicus fuscus (big brown bat) is the source of this 94-nucleotide small nucleolar RNA. RefSeq annotates it as small nucleolar RNA SNORD116. The transcript has a single exon. The record is from RefSeq and is a predicted model, not a curated record. Lineage: Eukaryota; Metazoa; Chordata; Mammalia; Chiroptera; Vespertilionidae.
AAAUCGAUGAUGACACCAAAAAUUACAUUCCUUGGAGCUGACUAAAAUAAGUGAGAACUACAGCCGUCGUCGUUCUCAUCAGAAACUGAGGUCC